Molecule: small nucleolar RNA, 137 nt
Organism: Chelonoidis abingdonii (Abingdon island giant tortoise)
Lineage: Eukaryota; Metazoa; Chordata; Testudines; Testudinidae
Source: Ensembl
ACCGAGACUAGUGUCACGUCUAGACAUUGCCCAUUGUCAUAGUUGUGCUUGAGUACUCGGAAAGUAACAACUAAUCUCGGUUUACUGACUGUCACUACUUUCAGGUCAGUCAGUCAGUCACUGGGUUAGUAACAGAA